GAUGAACGCUGGCGGCGUGCUUAACACAUGCAAGUCGAACGAGAAGUGAAGACGGAACCCUUCGGGCGGAAGGCUUUAUUUCGAGUGGCGGACGGGUGAGUAACGCGUGGGUAACCUGCCUCAUACAGGGGGAUAACAGUUGGAAACGACUGUUAAUACCGCAUAAGACCACAGCACCGCAUGGUGCGGGGGUAAAAACUCCGGUGGUAUGAGAUGGACCCGCGUUCGAUUAGCCAGUUGGCGGGGUAACGGCCCACCACAGCGACGAUCGAUAGCCGAUCUGAGAGGAUGACCGGCCACAUUGGGACUGAGACACGGCCCAAACUCCUACGGGAGGCAGCAGUGGGGAAUAUUGCACAAUGGGGGAAACCCUGAUGCAGCGACGCCGCGUGAGUGAAGAAGUAUUUCGGUAUGUAAAGCUCUAUCAGCAGGGAAGAAAAUGACGGUACCUGAGUAAGAAGCCCCGGCUAACUACGUG
This 478-nucleotide ribosomal RNA is filed under the name uncultured bacterium. RNAcentral describes it as "partial 16S ribosomal RNA". It matches the Rfam family "Bacterial small subunit ribosomal RNA", at positions 28 to 507 of the family's 1533-position model. The record is from RNAcentral.